GAGUUUGAUCCUGGCUCAGGAUGAACGCUGGCGGCGUGCUUAACACAUGCAAGUCGAACGAACCUCCGGGUUAGUGGCGGACGGGUGAGUAACGCGUGGGAAUCUGCCCUCAGGAGGGGGAUAACGGCUGGAAACGGCCGCUAAUACCCCAUAUGCCGAGAGGUGAAAUGAAUUUCGCCUGAGGAUGAGCCCGCGUCUGAUUAGCUAGUUGGUGAGGUAAGAGCUCACCAAGGCAUCGAUCAGUAGCUGGUCUGAGAGGAUGAUCAGCCACACUGGGACUGAGACACGGCCCAGACUCCUACGGGAGGCAGCAGUGGGGAAUUUUCCGCAAUGGGCGAAAGCCUGACGGAGCAACGCCGCGUGAGGGAUGAAGGCCUCUGGGCUGUAAACCUCUUUUCUCAAGGAAGAAGAUCUGACGGUACUUGAGGAAUAAGCCACGGCUAAUUCCGUGCCAGCAGCCGCGGUAAUACGGGAGUGGCAAGCGUUAUCCGGAAUUAUUGGGCGUAAAGCGUCCGCAGGCGGCCCUUCAAGUCUGCUGUUAAAACGUGGAGCUUAACUCCAUCAUGGCAGUGGAAACUGUUGGGCUUGAGUGUGGUAGGGGCAGAGGGAAUUCCCGGUGUAGCGGUGAAAUGCGUAGAUAUCGGGAAGAACACCAGUGGCGAAGGCGCUCUGCUGGGCCAUAACUGACGCUCAUGGACGAAAGCCAGGGGAGCGAAAGGGAUUAGAUACCCCUGUAGUCCUGGCCGUAAACGAUGAACACUAGGUGUCGGGGGAAUCGACCCCCUCGGUGUCGUAGCCAACGCGUUAAGUGUUCCGCCUGGGGAGUACGCACGCAAGUGUGAAACUCAAGGAAUUGACGGGGGCCCGCACAAGCGGUGGAGUAUGUGGUUUAAUUCGAUGCAACGCGAAGAACCUUACCAGGUUUGACAUCCUGCGAACCUCUUGGAAA
This 949-nucleotide ribosomal RNA is filed under the name uncultured bacterium. RNAcentral's name for it is "bacterial SSU rRNA". It matches the Rfam family "Bacterial small subunit ribosomal RNA", at positions 9 to 1006 of the family's 1533-position model. The record is from RNAcentral.